CCUACGGGAGGCAGCAGUGGGGAAUAUUGGACAAUGGGCGAAAGCCUGAUCCAGCCAUGCCGCGUGUGUGAAGAAGGCCUUCGGGUUGUAAAGCACUUUCAGUGGGGAAGAAAGCCUUGGGGCUAAUACCCUCGAGGAAGGACAUCACCCACAGAAGAAGCACCGGCUAACUCCGUGCCAGCAGCCGCGGUAAUACGGAGGGUGCGAGCGUUAAUCGGAAUUACUGGGCGUAAAGCGCGCGUAGGCGGUCUGAUAAGCCGGUUGUGAAAGCCCCGGGCUCAACCUGGGAACGGCAUCCGGAACCGUCAGGCUAGAGUGCAGGAGAGGAAGGUAGAAUUCCCGGUGUAGCGGUGAAAUGCGUAGAGAUCGGGAGGAAUACCAGUGGCGAAGGCGGCCUUCUGGACUGACACUGACGCUGAGGUGCGAAAGCGUGGGUAGCAAACAGGAUUAAUACCGUGUAGUC
Molecule: ribosomal RNA, 463 nt
Filed under: Vreelandella stevensii
Lineage: Bacteria; Pseudomonadati; Pseudomonadota; Gammaproteobacteria; Oceanospirillales; Halomonadaceae
Description: partial 16S ribosomal RNA
Rfam family: Bacterial small subunit ribosomal RNA
Source: RNAcentral